CAGACACUCAGUACUAGGUUCCCUUCGGAUCACCACGUUUCCUUGAAGGAUGUUGACAAACUAGAGUUGGUUGCAGAUGCGGCUGCACGGGAUGGUGAAGAAAGGUGUGCCGGUGAAGGUGUAAUCUAAGACCCACUGCUCCGUGUGCCAGGGAGUUUCUCUACCACAAUGGGCUUCGGACGGCGUUAGAACGUGUUAAGAUACAGAUUCCUGGGCCCCCUUCCAGACCGGAAAUCAGGGCCUCUGCAGUGAAGCCUGGGGGUGCGUGUGUUUCCAUGAGCUCCACAGGUGAUUCCGAAGGGCCAUCAGGACGGACAGCAAGUGCUCCGUGGGCUGGGGGCCACCCCACGGCCGUUGCCGACUUGCAGCUGGGACAGUUCUAAGAAAUAUUUGGGUCACAUCCCUGAAAGUGGACAGAGACAUUUUCUUCUCUGGAAAUUGGCCCAGCCAGCCCAAAGAGGAAACACCUAAAGAUAUCGACAUGGAAUUUCCCUAACCAAAUGGCCCAGCCACAUCACUCUACGGGGAGACACAAAGGUCAACAAGUGUCACCCACGAGCACAGACUCUCAUCAUUCUUAGUGACAUGUACUUUCAAGAUGCACAGCAGGAAAAGAAUUGGAGCUCAGCUAUGUGUAUGGAUCACUGGGCAGACCUCAGAAUCAACACUGACUAAAAGAAGUAAGUCACAAAGGGACAUACAUUUCACCUACGCGACUCCCCGGUGAGUUCCUCCGCCUGGAAGAAAUGUAACUUUCCAGGUCUGACUCCGCACUUGUGUUUCUACCUGAUGUGGCUUUGGGAACUCUCUCACCACCAAUGUCCGGGACUUAGCCCAUCCGGCCACAAACGGAAAGAGCCUAGAGAAGCCAGCGCUUGAAGCCAGCUGGUUAAAGGUGCACCUGGCACCUUCACAUGACAGAGUUCAGCUCUGUUCCCAAACACGAGCCAGGGGUUUCAUGCAGAAUUCCACUCUUAGGCUGUUUAUUUCUCCUGGGUCUUUCACGCUGUGUUCAGGGCUCUGGCAAGGCCUUCAGAUGCGGAAAGGCAGCCAU
Long non-coding RNA from Ailuropoda melanoleuca (giant panda), 1054 nucleotides. RefSeq lists it as uncharacterized. Lineage: Eukaryota; Metazoa; Chordata; Mammalia; Carnivora; Ursidae. The record is from RefSeq and is a predicted model, not a curated record. The transcript is spliced from 4 exons.